AAGAAAAACAUAAAGUCAAAAGAGUUUAGAGUUCCUCUAACGUUUAUACUUCUUCCAUUUCAGCACCACAGAUACUGAGAGGCUCAGAGUCUCAUUUGGACGAAAGAGCAAGGGAUUUGGGCAGAAAAAUCUCAGUGCAUGCCCUGUAUGUGACUUUGCUCAUCUCCACGAUGGGGAACAACAUGACAGCCACAGAUCCUCUCUAUCUCCAUCUUCUCCUAACUUCAUGAUACGUCUCUCAGCAAACGUCAUCAAGAAAGACAACAAGGAUCCCAAAAUGAAAAUUGAAACAGACAAAGAAACAGAAAUAAAACCAUGAAGAUAAAAUACACAAACACAAAAUUAAAAGUGAACAAAAAAACUCAUGCAAUCCACUUUGUAUUGGCCAACUAACUGGGCAUAGGGCCUGAUAUGUCUGCUGCUACUUCACUGGAGAAAACCUUGGUCUCCCU
This 452-nucleotide long non-coding RNA is filed under the name Rattus norvegicus (Norway rat). RNAcentral's name for it is "long non-coding RNA NONRATT032630". The record is from RNAcentral. Lineage: Eukaryota; Metazoa; Chordata; Mammalia; Rodentia; Muridae.